CCUUGAUUUUUGAACUUAACCCUGUUUUUUUUGCAGGUGGGUAUUUCUACCUAAACAGAAAAUAAAUUCCUCUGGGAGAAGAAGGGAGGUCCGAUUGGAUAUAGCUCUUGGUACUUGCAUGGACUUACUUCUACAUGGGAGUAGAAUCAGAAGACAACCAUGCUUUGCCAUGCUAUCUGAAGAAAUUACCACCAACUCUGCCCUGCUCCUCUCUGCCACCUUUUCACUGGAUAAUGCUGCUCAUUUAGAUCUGGUGGUGCAUCCUGUACACCAGAUGUAGAGAAGCCAGUAUAUCCAGCCUAGAGUGAACACAUCCUUUCAUUUACUCCCCUUCCUUAAAUAUAGAGCCCAUUUUGAAGUAAAGAGAAGGAAAAUGCUGUGAUUCAUACGGUAUCAAUAUUUACAUCUAUGAGUUCACAGAUUUGUUAAACUGUUUA
This 437-nucleotide long non-coding RNA is filed under the name Anas platyrhynchos platyrhynchos (common mallard). RNAcentral's name for it is "lncRNA (ENSAPLG00000022482.1)". Lineage: Eukaryota; Metazoa; Chordata; Aves; Anseriformes; Anatidae. The record is from RNAcentral.